Molecule: long non-coding RNA, 7057 nt
Organism: Amphiprion ocellaris (clown anemonefish)
Lineage: Eukaryota; Metazoa; Chordata; Actinopteri; Pomacentridae
Exons: 3
Source: RefSeq, a predicted model, not a curated record
GGCUCCAGCUCGGCCGGACAAGCUGCAGCCGGAAGGAGGAGAAAGACACUCCUGCAUGAUCUGUCUCCUGUGACUCCUCCACUCCUUCACAGAUGGGCAGAGAGACUGGAAUGUGGAGAAAGACGCAGAGGGGAAACGAGCUGUAAACCGGGUUUACAGGUGAUUAUACUUGAACAGAAGUGACUGCAGAUGUGUUGACAAGGCAAUCCACCUGGGAAAAAGGAGUCUGCGCCCUGAGGGGAGCCAUGCUGUGGUAACAACCGGGAAACUCUUGUGAUUUGUCACCGUGAUUUAUCUUUGUUGUUAGGUGCUGAAGGUAUAACAAUGAAGUGCCUCGUGAUUUCUAAUCUGAUUUUUUUUUUUUUUAACCACUGAAUGAUGCCGCGCUAAGAUUUUAAGAGAUGCUUGAUUACAUAACCCUCUUGUUGCAACAGAUGAUUUACAGCAGCGAUAUGCGUGUGAACAUAACUUGUGUGCGGAUAGGCAUGUGUGGGGAUUGUGAUGUAGUGUCUCUGAUGCAGAACUGGAUCCAUCCUCGCUCGGAUGUCGCUGCAGCUGCAGACAUCGUUUUUCAUAUCGGACCUGCAUGCUGGCAGCCUGCCCGACACCCUCUCUCCUGCCCCGCUUUCUCUUCCCCUCCCUCUUUUCACCUCCUCUCACCUCUCCUUACACUUCUCUCCUCCCUCCCUUGCGUACACAAACACGCCUCUCCUCCGUCGUCUCGUUGCCUCUGAUCUGCCUGAGUGGUGCAGUGAUCUCUGGCCGAAAAGACCAAAAAGAUUUUCAAUCACUGCCGCUCACAUUCGGCCAGAAAUCACGACAAGAACCAAGUGCUGCGAGUGUGAGAGUGUGUCCUCAGAUUUUCCUCCUAUUAGUCAGUAUGAGAGUCCAGCUGCAAAUUGCUGCACAGGAAGUGGUUCUUACAACGAUUUAGUUCAGACAAGAGGAGAGGAACAUUUACACAGUCGCUCACCCCCACGGCCAUACCACACUCAUGAGUAUCCCUCUGUGAUGACAUUAAUUCCUGGCACUCUUAUCUUGUGCAAAGCUUAAGCACAAGUUCCAACCUCAAACUAACCUAAAAUGCCAAAUCCGUCCUUGUGAGAAUGUUUAGAACAACUGUGAAAAUCUUGCUGGUUUUGCAUCUAUGGUGAUGUCUCAUUUGGACCUCGUAAAUACAGAAACAGAUGAGUACACACACGCCCAGACACACACAAACACACACUAAUCCAGGCAUGACGCAACCCUCUAAGCAACUGUAUGUCAUCAUCAGCGAGACGUCCUCUGGGAGGGAGCGACCCAGUAUAAUACGCUGUGUUUGAAUGAUGUCUCUCUACUAUACGUAGUAACAGUACAGCUAGUAAACACAGACUGACCUAUAUCACCACCGUGGGGUAUUGGAGUCUGGUUAAAGAUUACGUUGUUUGAUAAGCCACCUCUGUUUAUCAGUUAUGUAACAGGACUCUGCCGUGGCUCUGAAUUAUACAGGGCAGCUCCCGCACAGUGGAAAGUGUUUCAAUAUGUUCCUGUUAGUCCUUUUCUAACGUCAGCAUUAAGCCAUUCACUAAUUAUAGAGAUUUUUUUCGCUACUGCUGCUGCUUGAGGAUAUUAACAUUCUAGUUCAGAGAGCUGCCUUUUCUCGUACAACAAGGUGUGUACCUUAGACUGUGUGUAAAAGAUGGAUGUAGCCACUGUGACGUCACCCCCUGGUUUGUGGACAACGGUUUUGAAGCCUCGAGUUUGGAAUUUGGAAGUCACCAUCUCGGUCUUAUGAAACUGGGGCAAAGGGUGGAGAACUUGAAGACAUUUGUACAUACAGUACAGACAGUAGCCUCAUGUCAAUCACAAGAUAGCCACAUUUUAAAACACACCCUGCUUUACUGUCAAUUUUACUCUAAAUGAAAACAGAAUUUAUAAAAUGAACAUCAGGCUGCAUUGGAAAGGACUUCAAACUAGCGAUUGAAACCAUUAACCCAUUAGGAAAAUGUUUACUGAGGUAAUAAAUCAAGUGAGAAGUAGUGUCACUUUUUUCAUAAACGAUGCAAUUGGGCUUUUUUUGCAAACCAGUGGAGUCCCACCUGCUGGCUGUUAGAAAGAAUGCAGGUUUAAGUCAGGUCCACAUUGACUUUAUUGGUUUGGAUCCAGAGGUUAUGUUCAUCUUUACAGUCUAUGCUUUGUUUACAACAUCAACAUGUUAAUAAUCAUAUGUUAGCAGUAUAUUUGUACUCAUUGUUCUAGUCAAUUUGCAUACUUAAAUCUAAUAAUAAUCAUUUUUUAGCUUGUUGUAACAAAACAUGUCACACAGUAACCACUGUAUGUACAUAUAGAAUUUGUUAAACCUUCAUGAGAUUGAGAGUUGUUACUACUUUCAGAAAGGUUCUGAAGCAAUAAUACCUCAACUUGUAGCCUGCGUUAGGCCCAGUGUUAUAUUUUGUGUGCCUGCAAGUAUGUUGAUGCCAGCAAGGGUCCAUGUGACGAAUAUUUGUUCAUCUUGCCAAGUCCAUGAGAGUCUGUAUAGACCUGUCAGUGGACGUCCGCUUGCAGCCAAAAAUUGCACCUGUAUGGACUGUCCACACAGUAACUACGCUAUGACCUGCUGCACAUGUACGCAAUCGAGUCUACCCAUCGCAACUACAAAAAUUAUACUAUAGCAGCAAUUAUGUCAACAUGCGCUUGUGCUCAUAGGUGUCUAUGUCACAGUUAAAUCAGGGCUUUACUUAAAGCUGCAACAACUGAUUUUUUUAGCCACUUGGGGGCAGCAAAACUAGUCAUAAACACAGCAUUGACAUAUAACACAUUGCCAUUGUUCAUCUGGAAUUUUGCUUUCAAGCAUCUGGCGAUAAAAUGCUCAUUCACUAUUAGCUCUUUUUUGGUCCCCACCAAUCCUUCAACACCACUUAUUAGAACAGUAUUUAGCUUUUUUGCAGCUACAUGCUCAUCUACUGAGUUGGUAACAUUUUCUGCUGCUUAGCGUUGGGCUGGAUGAUAUUUUUGGCUUGUUGUCUGUCUGUGUAGUUACACAUUGUGGGUUUUUCUUUCUUUUUUUAAAUCUAAAAAUGCUUUGCUUUGAUAUUCAAAACCACUACAAAAAAAGUCACAAAACUGUAUCCAUAGAAACAGAUAUUAGAAAACGACACAGAUUAAAAGAAUAGUUCCUCAGAGCAGUACAUUUAAAUAAUCACUAAUUAUAGCUGUGGCAGCUCCUGCUUUGACUCCCCCACCUCCCAACCCUCUAAAUGCUACUCCAGACACUUACUUUGAUGUGUUUCGGGUCAAAGUGUUUAACAUUUACCUCCAGACAAUAGCUCUAUUGUUCAAAGAUACGUGAGAAGUUUUUGUUGUAUAAUGAAGCUCAUUUACCAUCAAUGACUGUGUGUGUGGAUCCUUCACUCGGUGACUAAUACCAUGACAGGUGGUGCACAUACAUACUUUACUGAUAUUUGAUCUGUGUGGCUGUCUCUCCCUCGGACACACACACACACACACACACACACACACACGCCAUAAACCAACCAGCUGAGAAAUUAGGUCUGUAAAUACAUGUGUAUGAAGUGGAAGAGGAGAGGUGAGAGAGGGUUAAAAACGGAAGCAGAAAGGAACAAUUUGAGUCUUGCAUAAAGGUGCUUAAUAUUUCAGGUUGGUAUGCACAGUGUGAGAUGAAUGAAAGAGUGGAUGGAUGGAGGGAUGGAUGGAUGGAUGGAGGGAUGGAUGGAGGCCUGCCACUGCAGGAGCAGUGACGUCAGCCUUGUAAACUAAGGACUUAAUCCUCUGGAGGUCUGACCUGCUCCUCAGUGUGCUGUCCUGACAUCUAGUGUUCAGAUGCUGGAACAACACACUGUUCCUCAGCAUCCUGAGGAUUUGCUAUCCUUUAGUACGUUUAACAAUCUAAAAAAAUAGAUUUGUUUUCAGCUUCUCUGUGUUGACCACUGUGGCCCACAUAGUCUCCACAGUGCCACAGGUGGAUGAUGACAUCUUAUCAGACUGUAUUAAGGGAAAACGAGGUCACAGAUAAGCUUCAUGAAAUACACUUCUUAUCUGAACGCACACAAAAUUACAGUCUGCCGACCAUUAUGUUCUCCGACAGACCAACAUGCUGCGUUUGUAUGCAGUGGUUUUGUCAGUGGAAUAUAGGUCAGACAUCAUCUGCUCUGCCGAUGUUAGAAACCGGCUUCGGGCUUUAUUGAUGCCAUGCUGGCUGCUGCUGUCAUAUGGGGCCAACCGCCACAUUUCACACUUGAAUGAGUUGGUACACUGUGUACAGCCAAACAUUGCAAGGGUUUAAAUUUAGCACAUUACGUUUGUGUAGAGUGUGGCUGUGACCCUUGAACUGUCACCAUAACACUUAUAUAAAUUUCUAUCAAGGAUGAUGGCUGAAAUAAAAUGCCAAAACCUGAGUGUGUUGCCUAUAGCAAAAAUGACUUUCAGUCAUUUUGAACAGAGAUUUCCUUCUUGAAUAAAAUAUGCACGAUUGAAAAAUUCUCAUUACUGAAUGUUUUGGUACAAGCUCAUAUGAAGGCUGCUGUUUUCUAUCCUCUGAAUUUUAAAGCCCCCGAAAAAUGUUUUCAAAUCUUAAAGCUGCACCAACAGAGAUUUUUAUUGCAAUAAUUGGUCCAAAUGAUGCUAUAUGAUGUAAAAAGGUUUUAUUAAUGUACCCAGAGAACAUUAUUUAUCGCUACCCCUCCAUGACUCUUUCAAAACAUGCUUGAUCCAGACUUUAGGCUUUUUUAGUUUGGCCUGAACCAAAGUUACAGAUAUGAAACCUUCCCCGGUAUGGAUUGCUCGAAGUGUAAAAACAUUUUGUGGGUUGUUCAGACUUUUGGGCUUAUCAAAAGAAGGAGACAGCAGGCUAUCAGAAAUCAGAAACAUCAGAAACAAAAAAAGAAAAAAAUGAGCCAUUCCUGGUAGCAUGUCAGGAGAAGAGAAAGAGACACUGUUUUUAUUUGAAAUAGAGUGCGAUGACAUAAAACUGGCCAAAACUCAUAAAAAUGCAAACACUUUCCAGGUAUUUUUGGGGAAAAUGAGAGAAAGGAUACAAGAGGACAACAGAGCAAUGACACAUAAAGAAAAGGAAACUGUGUCAGCAAUAUAUGAGUGUGCACAAUGUCAACCAAUGAGAAAGACAAACUGAAUAACAGAAUGGACACUGGUUUGCACUUCUCUAUGCAAUGAAAUUAAAUCAAAUAAAAAACAAAUCAUGUUCAUUUGGUUUACUUAACAAAUGAAUAUGUGUCUCUCAGUUUAACUAUUGUUUUUUCGUUUCUGUGUUUUGCACUUAUGACUGAACUUUACUAAUAGUGGCUGGAGGAGUCAAGUGACUGCAUACACUACCGUUCAAAAGUUUGGGGUCACAGAAAUAUCCUUAUUUUUGAAGGAAAAGCAGUUUUUUUUGAAUGAAGACAACAUUAAAUUAAUCAGAAACACAGUCUAGACAUUGCUAAUGUGGUAAAUGACUAUUCUAACUGGAAACUGUUGAUUUUUAAUGGAAUAUCUCCACAGGGGUACAGAGGAACAUUUCCAGAAACCAUCACUCCUGUGUUCUAAUGCUACAUUGUGUUAGCUAAUGGUGUUGAAAGGCUCAUUGAUGAUUAGAAAACCUGUGUGCAAUUAUAUUAGUACAUUAAUAAAAGUGUGCCUGGGUGUUUCGAUGCAAAUUUAAAAUACUGCUACAUGGAAGUUCAUGAACCCAGCCCAUACUAGACUUCCUGAAAACAUGCUACAUGAUUUGAAUCUCUAUAAGGAGGAAGUAGUAAAGAAGAUAAAAUGCCUUUUUUGGGAGCAUUGUUUUGUGUAGGAUUAAACCCAUAUUAUUAUUUAUUUAGCUAAGUGAUAUUGUCUAAGUGCAGAUAUGAUUUACAACUUUCAACCAAAGCCCAAAGUCUCAAGAAAGUACAUAAGUGAAAUCAGCAUUUAGUUGAACUGAGCUCAACACUGACUGACUUCUGUUGAGGUCACACCCUCCACUGCUGUGCAUUGUUUUCUAUUAUUAUUAUUAACAACAUAGAAGAAACAACCAGCCUGCCAAAAAUACAAGAGGUGUGAAAAUAAAAUUAACCAUAAGGCCAUUGGUUAGCAUUUAUUUUCUGUUAGUUCAUGUCAUGUAAGUGUAUCUUUGUUGAUAUGAAACUAUUUUUGUUAGUAGAGUAAUUUUGCUGUAGCUUAAUUAUAGAAGAGUCACCUAGAGAUCAAAAAGGUCAAGGUUUGAGGUCAACUGGAGAAAAUAUAUUUACCCAUAAAAGGUUUCUGUCUUUGAAAAGGUGACCCCAGGUUUAUUCUAUGGUAUGGACACUAUAAACCCACAACCUACUAAUGAUGAGCCAAUAGGAGAAGAGUUUGUGUUUCCUAUAAAUGCAGUUCCAUUGUACUUGGUCCUUGUGGGAGAGAGGAGUGAGGUCUCUCCUUCCAUGCUGAGUCAUUUCUUCUCCAUUGCAAAUAUGUAUUUUAAUUUUCUAUAUUGUUGACAAUAAUAAAUUUACAGACAACCCAGCAGUGUGUUUGUAUCUUAUCCUUUGGUAAAAUGAGUAAAAUGUCCCAACACUUGUUACUAAUAUAAUAGAAUAUUAACCCUGUACAUCCAGAUAAAACAAACUUUUGAUGAUUUGUAGCUUUGCUGAGCUCCUCCUGACACCUUCUAACAUCACUCAUGACUACAGUCUUCCUUCAGUGUCAGCUACUGUCCAUUAACUUGUAUAUGGCUUAGGCUGAACACAUUUGCAUGUUUUACAGCUUUCCGGGCACUCAUUUGUUUAAGUCCACUGUUUAUGUUUGGCUCCGUGUCAUAGCUGCAGAGAUGAUGCACACAUUUGGAUGAGGCUAUUUUAAAAAUAAUUUUAAGACGAAGGAGACACAUUUUUUAUGAGACGAUACCAGAAAUGUUUUCAGGUCUCAUUUUUUCUGGGUUUCAAGUGAAAAAGAGGAAAUUUGAAAACUAAAUUUGCCGCUGAUUGACUUUAACUUGGAUUCAGAUUCUGGGUUGGAGCUGCUUACUGUCCAAGGUUUGCUUCUCCUCAGCUUGAGGGCUCUCUUCUAUAGAAACGUCUGGAUUCACGUCUCUAAACCA